GACGUAGGGGGCCAGCGUUGCGCGGAAUUACUGGGUGUAAAGGGUUCGUAGGCGGUGUGGCAAGUCGGGAGUGAAAUCUCUGGGCUCAACCCAGAGUCUGCUUCCGAAACUGCUGUGCUUGAGUGUGGGAGAGGCGCGUGGAAUUGCAGGUGUAGCGGUGAAAUGCGUAGAUAUCUGCAGGAACACCCGUGGCGAAAGCGGCGCGCUGGACCACUACUGACGCUGAGGAACGAAAGCUAGGGGAGCAAACAGG
This 253-nucleotide ribosomal RNA is filed under the name uncultured bacterium. Its description in RNAcentral is "partial 16S ribosomal RNA". It matches the Rfam family "Bacterial small subunit ribosomal RNA", at positions 524 to 776 of the family's 1533-position model. The record is from RNAcentral.